This 498-nucleotide ribosomal RNA is filed under the name uncultured bacterium. Its description in RNAcentral is "partial 16S ribosomal RNA". It matches the Rfam family "Bacterial small subunit ribosomal RNA", at positions 30 to 523 of the family's 1533-position model. The record is from RNAcentral.
AUUGAACGCUGGCGGCAUGCCUUACACAUGCAAGUCGAACGGUAACAGGUCUUCGGAUGCUGACGAGUGGCGAACGGGUGAGUAAUACAUCGGAACGUGCCCGAUCGUGGGGGAUAACGAAGCGAAAGCUUUGCUAAUACCGCAUAAGAUCUACGGAUGAAAGCAGGGGACCGCAAGGCCUUGCGCGAACGGAGCGGCCGAUGGCAGAUUAGGUAGUUGGUGGGAUAAAAGCUUACCAAGCCGACGAUCUGUAGCUGGUCUGAGAGGACGACCAGGCACACUGGGGCUGAGAGACGGCCCAGACUCCUGAGGGAGGCAGCAGUGGGGAAAUUUGGACAGUGGGCGAAAGCCUGAUCCAGCCAUGCCGCGUGCAGGAUGAAGGCCUUCGGGUUGUAAACUGCUUUUGUACGGAACGAAAAGACUCUUUCUAAUAAAGAGGGUCCAUGACGGUACCGUAAGAAUAAGCACCGGCUAACUACGUGCCAGCCGCCGCGGUAA